CGCCGGCUUACCCUAUGAAGGCCCCACAGUAAGGAGAAUGGGUAAUACCCAAAACGUCAGGUCGAGGUGUAGCGUACGAAGUAGGAAGAAAUGGGCUACAUUAUCUGAGACAGAUUACUCACGAAAGGCUACCUGAAACAGAUAGCCUGAAGGCGGAUUUAGCAGUAAGGAAAGAGCAGAGCGCUUUCCUGAAGUCGGCUCUGAAGCGCGCACACACCGCCCGUCACUCUCCCCAACAGUACCCUUAUCUAGUACCUUAACAUAAUAAUAACCGCAAGGGGAGGCAAGUCGUAACAUGGUAAGUGUACCGGAAGGUGCACUUGGAACAA
RNAcentral lists this ribosomal RNA (329 nucleotides) under Gudusia chapra (Indian river shad). Its description in RNAcentral is "partial 12S ribosomal RNA". It matches the Rfam family "Bacterial small subunit ribosomal RNA", at positions 1053 to 1525 of the family's 1533-position model. The record is from RNAcentral. Lineage: Eukaryota; Metazoa; Chordata; Actinopteri; Clupeiformes; Clupeidae.